ACAAAUCAAUUCAACCUGUGCAUUCUUCUUGUAUAUAUACAACCACUCUCUUCUGAUCUAAAAAUUCAAACCAAAAUCAAAUGAAAUAUAUAAACACAAUACCCAAGAAAUUAAAGAAGGCAAAGUGAAAUAACCCACAUACACACAAACUCAACCAAACAAAGAGAUACAUCAAGUUAAAAUUUAGAUCUAGCGCAACUACGAUGGAUUCUCAAUUAACAUUCCUGAAUUUGAAACUGUAAAAAACUUCCAUAUUGGACAGCUUCCUCAAGCAUAAUAGUGAUACCACCUACAAUUCACAAAGGAAGCAACAAACUUAAGAUUUGAGAUUUUCAGCAUGUUAAAAAUAAUAGUGUGAUUGAAUUGGCACAAUUUUAUCUCUCUAUUUACGUGUCCAUUAAUUAUAGAUUAGACAACUCUUAUACAAUGAACAUAAGGAGCAAAGUAGGGAAACAUGUGCAAGAUAGUUGAAACUUACCAAGAUUGUAAAAAUAGAAAACCAAGAUAAAGAACUUUAUUCAGAAUAACAUUUACACAUACACAAUUCUUGCUUUAUCAGGUUAUCAUUAUUUUUCUUCAAUACCUUCAAGAAUAAGAAAACCACCAGGUUUCGUGUGAAGAUUAGUGAUGGAUAUGUGCAUUUGAAAGAAAAAGAAUGGAACAUUAGUGGUGAAGAUGUUAGGAUUUUACAACAAGAGAUGGUGAUGUCGAUUAUUUCAACGAAAAGAGAUUAGAGGUUUACGGCAAGAGGUGGUGGUCGUCGAAGGAUAAUAAAGUUGUUGGUGGUUCUGCAGCUAUGAGCUAAGCGCGAUGGCCGAAGAUGGCAUAGGAGGAUAAGGAUCUUGGCUGUGGUUAUGCAUUGUCCUGUUUAAAAACAAAA
Molecule: long non-coding RNA, 880 nt
Filed under: Lupinus angustifolius (narrow-leaved blue lupine)
Lineage: Eukaryota; Viridiplantae; Streptophyta; Magnoliopsida; Fabales; Fabaceae
Description: long non-coding RNA (LANG_LNC000777)
Source: RNAcentral